RNAcentral lists this transfer RNA (65 nucleotides) under Ninus insignis. Its description in RNAcentral is "tRNA-Pro". The record is from RNAcentral. Lineage: Eukaryota; Metazoa; Arthropoda; Insecta; Hemiptera; Ninidae.
CAGUGGUUAGUUUAAUAAAAAUAUUAAUUUUGGAGAUUAAAGAUGGGAUUUAUUCUUUUCACUGA